GGCUGCUGCCUGGUUCAAGUAAUCCAGGAUAGGCUGUUUCCUCAAAGCACGGCCUACUCUUGAUUACUUGUUUCAGGAAGUAGCU
This is a microRNA precursor of Xenopus tropicalis (tropical clawed frog), 85 nucleotides long. Ensembl annotates it as xtr-mir-26-1. Its record names the gene xtr-mir-26-1. Lineage: Eukaryota; Metazoa; Chordata; Amphibia; Anura; Pipidae. The record is from Ensembl.